GGCGGAGAGUUUGAUCCUGGCUCAGAUUGAACGCUGGCGGCAUGCUUUACACAUGCAAGUCGAAAGGCAGCACGGGGGCAACCCUGGUGGCGAGUGGCGAACGGGUGAGUAAUAUAUCGGAACAUAUCCGGAAGUGGGGGAUAACGUACCGAAAGGUACGCUAAUNCCGCAUAUGCCCUGAGGGGGAAAGGGGGGGAUCGCAAGACCUCUUGCUUUCGGAGUGGCCGAUAUCGGAUUAGCUAGUUGGUGAGGUAAAGGCUCACCAAAACGGCGAUCCGUAGCUGGUCUGAGAGGACGACCAGCCACACUGGAACUGAGACACGGUCCAGACUCCUACGGGAGGCAGCAGUGGGGAAUUUU
Molecule: ribosomal RNA, 360 nt
Filed under: uncultured bacterium
Lineage: Bacteria
Description: SSU rRNA
Rfam family: Bacterial small subunit ribosomal RNA
Source: RNAcentral